GACGAACGCUGGCGGCGUGCUUAACACAUGCAAGUCGAACGGAAAGGCCCUGCUUUUGUGGGGUGCUCGAGUGGCGAACGGGUGAGUAACACGUGAGUAACCUGCCCUUGACUUUGGGAUAACUUCGGGAAACUGGGGCUAAUACCGGAUAGGAGCUCCUGCUGCAUGGUGGGGGUUGGAAAGUUUCGGCGGUUGGGGAUGGACUCGCGGCUUAUCAGCUUGUUGGUGGGGUAGUGGCUUACCAAGGCUUUGACGGGUAGCCGGCCUGAGAGGGUGACCGGCCACAUUGGGACUGGGAUACGGCCCAGACUCCUACGGGAGGCAGCAGUGGGGAAUAGUGCACAAUGGGCGGAAGCCUGAUGCAGCAACGCCGCGUGCGGGAUGACGGCCUUCGGGUUGUAAACCGCUUUCGCCUGUGACGAAGCGUGAGUGACGGUAAUGGGUAAAGAAGCACCGGCUAACUACGUG
This 468-nucleotide ribosomal RNA is filed under the name uncultured bacterium. RNAcentral describes it as "partial 16S ribosomal RNA". It matches the Rfam family "Bacterial small subunit ribosomal RNA", at positions 28 to 507 of the family's 1533-position model. The record is from RNAcentral.